This 465-nucleotide ribosomal RNA is filed under the name uncultured bacterium. RNAcentral's name for it is "bacterial SSU rRNA". It matches the Rfam family "Bacterial small subunit ribosomal RNA", at positions 338 to 795 of the family's 1533-position model. The record is from RNAcentral.
CCUACGGGUCGCACCAGUGGGGAAUAUUGCACAAUGGGCGCAAGCCUGAUGCAGCCAUGCCGCGUGUAUGAAGAAGGCCUUCGGGUUGUAAAGUACUCUCAGCGGGGAGGAAGGCGAUAAGGUUAAUAACCUUGUCGAUUGACGUUACCCGCAGAAGAAGCACCGGCUAACUCCGUGCCAGCAGUCGCGGUAAUACGGAGGGUGCAAGCGUUAAUCGGAAUUACUGGGCGUAAAGCGCACGCAGGCGGUCUGUCAAGUCGUAUGUGAAAUCCCCUGGCUCAACCUGGGAACUGCAUUCGAAACUGGCAGGCUGGAGUCUUGUAGAGGGGGGUAGAAUUCCAGGUGUAGCGGUGAAAUGCGUAGAGAUCUGGAGGAAUACCGGUGGCGAAGGCGGCCCCCUGGACAAAGACUGACGCUCAGGUGCGAAAGCGUGGGGAGCAAACAGGAUUAGAUACCCCCGUAGUC